AGCAGCCGCGGUAAUUCCAGCUCCAAUAGCGUAUAUUAAAGUUGUUGCAGUUAAAAAGCUCGUAGUUGAAUUUCGGGGUCAGCAGGUUGGUCGUGCCAAUGGUAUGCACUGGCCUUGCUGAUUCCUCCCUCUUGAUGAGCCGUAAUGUCAUUAAUUUGGUGUUGCGGGGAAUCAGGACUGUUACUUUGGAAAAAUUAGAGUGUUUAAAGCAGGCAAGCGCUUGAAUACAUUAGCAUGGAAUAAUGAAAUAGGACGUUUGAUCCUAUUUUGUUGGUUUCUAGGAUUGACGUAAUGAUUAAUAGGGAUAGUUGGGGGCAUUAGUAUUCAAUUGUCAGAGGUGAAAUUCUUGGAUUUAUUGAAGACUAACUACUGCGAAAGCAUUUGCCAAGGAUGUUUUCAUUAAUCAAGAACGAAAGUUAGGGGAUCGAAGACGAUCAGAUACCGUCGUAG
This 450-nucleotide ribosomal RNA is filed under the name uncultured Glomeromycotina. RNAcentral describes it as "SSU rRNA". It matches the Rfam family "Eukaryotic small subunit ribosomal RNA", at positions 569 to 1023 of the family's 1831-position model. Lineage: Eukaryota; Fungi; Glomeromycota. The record is from RNAcentral.